AAGCGUCCGUAGGCGUCUUGAAAGUCUGAUGUAAAAGCACGGAGCUCAACUCCGUGUACGUGUCGGAAACUCUCGAGAUAGAGUCGUACAGAGGCAUCUGGAAUUUCGUGUGUAGGGGUAAAAUCCGUUGAUCCACGAAGGAACGCCAAAAGCGAAAGCAGGAUGCUGGGUACGUACUGACGCUGAGGGACGAAAGCGUGGGGAGCAAAGGGGAUUAGAUACCCCCGUAGUCCACGCCCUAAACGAUGCGAGCUCGGUGUUGGAACUUCAAUCAGUUCCAGUGCCCAAGUUAACACGUUAAGCUCGCCGCCUGAGGAGUACGAUCGCAAGAUUAAAACUCAAAGGAAUAGACGGGGACCCACACAAGCGGUGGAGCAUGGGGUUUAAUUCGAUAGUAAGCGGAGAACCUUACCUAGGCUUGACAUCUUUGGAAUCUCGCAGAAACGCGAGAGUGCCGCAAGGAACCAAAAGACAGGCGAUGCACGGUCGUCGUCAGCUCGUGCCUUGAGGUGUACUGUUAAGUCAGCAAACGAGCGCAACCCUCAUCCUAUGUUGCAUUUUCAUGGGAGACUGCCGCCUCCAAGGCGGAGGAAGGUGAGGAUGACGUCAGAUCAGCGUGUCCUUUAUGCCUAGGGCUACACCCGUGCUACAAUGGCCGGUACAGAGGGGAGCUGAGCCGCGAGGCCAUGCAAAUCCCAAAAAACCGGUCUCAGUUCGGAUUGAAGUCUGAAACCCGACUUCAUGAAGUUGGGAAUCGCUAGUAACCGUGAAUCAGCCACGUCACGGUGAAUAUGUUCCUGGGUCUUGUACUCACCGCCCGUCAAGUCAUGAAAGGCAGAAGCACCUGAAGGACCCUUACCGGCAACGGGGGGUACCACGGUGAAGCUGCUGAUUGGGACUAAGUCGUAACAAGGUAA
RNAcentral lists this ribosomal RNA (917 nucleotides) under uncultured bacterium. RNAcentral describes it as "bacterial SSU rRNA". It matches the Rfam family "Bacterial small subunit ribosomal RNA", at positions 563 to 1499 of the family's 1533-position model. The record is from RNAcentral.